Oreochromis aureus is the source of this 140-nucleotide small nuclear RNA. Its record names the gene U4. It matches the Rfam family "U4 spliceosomal RNA". Rfam says of the family: U4 small nuclear RNA (U4 snRNA) is a component of the major U2-dependent spliceosome. NCBI's taxonomy places the organism in Eukaryota, Metazoa, Chordata, Actinopteri, Cichliformes, Cichlidae. The record is from Ensembl.
AUUCUUGUGCAGAGACAAUUUCAUAGUCUAUGAAGUUCUACUGAGACGUGAUUAUUGCUGGUUGAAAACUUUAACCAAUUCCCGCCUGGAUGAUUUGAAACACAGUCAGCUAUGGCAAUUUUUGCUAGUCUCUCAGGAGA